AGUCGAGAAUCUUUCGCAAUGGGGGAAACCCUGACGAAGCGACGCCGCGUGAGCGAUGAAGGUCUUCGGAUUGUAAAGCUCUGUCACUUGGGACGAAAUUUAAUUCUGCUAAUACCAGUAUUAAUUGACGGUACCGAGAGAGGAAGCCACGGCUAACUCCGUGCCAGCAGCCGCGGUAAUACGGAGGUGGCUAGCGUUGUUCGGAUUUAUUGGGCGUAAAGAGUGUGUAGGCGUUUUGUCAGGUCGUAUGUGAAAGCCUUUGGCUUAACCAAAGAACUGCAUGCGAAACCGACAGAAUUGAGUACAAGAGAGGAGAACGGAAUUCCCGGUGUAGAGGUGAAAUUCGUAGAUAUCGGGAAGAACACCGGUGGCGAAGGCGGUUCUCUGGCUUGAUACUGACGCUGAGACACGAAAGCUAGGGGAGCAAACAGGAUUAGAUACCCUGGUAGUCCUAGCCGUAAACGAUGGGCACUAGGUGUAGAUCCUUUGGGGUCUGUGCCGCAGCUAACGCAUUAAGUGCCCCGCCUGGGGAGUACGAUCGCAAGAUUGAAACUCAAAGGAAUUGACGGGGACCCGCACAAAUGGUGGAGCAUGUGGUUUAAUUCGACGAUACGCGAGGAACCUUACCAGGGCUUGACAUGUAUAUGAAAAUCCGUUGAAAGACGGAUCCUCCUUCGGGACAUAUACACAGGUGCUGCAUGGCUGUCGUCAGCUCGUGCCGUGAGGUGUUAGGUUAAGUCCUGCAACGAGCGCAACCCCUGUUCUUAGUUGCUAAGUUCUUUGAACUGCACUCUAAGAAGACUGCCACAGAUAAUGUGGAGGAAGGCGGGGAUGACGUCAAGUCAGUAUGGCCCUUAUGUCCUGGGCGACACACGUGCUACAAUGGUCUGUACAAAGGGUUGCCAAACCGCAAGGUGGAGCUAAUCCCAAAAAGCAGGCCUCAGUUCGGAUUGAAGGCUGCAAUUCGCCUUCAUGAAGCUGGAAUCAUUAGUAACCCCAUAUCAGCCAUGAUGGGGUGAAUACGUUCCCGGGUCUUGUACACACCGCCCGUCAAGUCAACCGAGUCAAAUGUACCCGAAGUCACUGACUUAAUCCGCCCUCGGGUGGAAGGGAAGGUUUCGAAGGUAUGUUUGGUAAGCGGGACU
Molecule: ribosomal RNA, 1145 nt
Filed under: uncultured bacterium
Lineage: Bacteria
Description: bacterial SSU rRNA
Rfam family: Bacterial small subunit ribosomal RNA
Source: RNAcentral